UGAAAUUUAGGAGGGAUUAUGGGGGAUUUGAAUAGUGAUUGGCUUAGGGUAUUUGAGAAGAUAAUGAGGGAGAAAUUUUAGGAGGAAAAAUAUGGAAAGUUGAGGUUGUGGAGGAGUUGUGCCGAUUUUGAACUUGGGCAUUCAGAAUUUGGCUAGGACUAAGAUAAUUCUCCCCUUCUCACUUCAGUUUCUGACUUUU
This 199-nucleotide long non-coding RNA is filed under the name Gossypium barbadense (sea-island cotton). Its description in RNAcentral is "long non-coding RNA (GBAR_LNC008136)". The record is from RNAcentral. Lineage: Eukaryota; Viridiplantae; Streptophyta; Magnoliopsida; Malvales; Malvaceae.